CUGAGCGACCCGAGAGCGAAAUCGUUUAACGCGCGUGCUCCGACAGACUUUUCUUUCUUAAGAGUUUUGAUAUGGCUCAGGACGAACGCUGGCGGCGUGCCUAAUACAUGCAAGUCGAGCGGAUCUUCAUUAGCUUGCUUUUGAAGAUCAGCGGCGGACGGGUGAGUAACACGUGGGCAACCUGCCUGUAAGACUGGGAUAACUUCGGGAAACCGGAGCUAAUACCGGAUAAUCCUUUCCCUCACAUGAGGGAAAGCUGAAAGACGGUUUCGGCUGUCACUUACAGAUGGGCCCGCGGCGCAUUAGCUAGUUGGUGAGGUAACGGCUCACCAAGGCAACGAUGCGUAGCCGACCUGAGAGGGUGAUCGGCCACACUGGGACUGAGACACGGCCCAGACUCCUACGGGAGGCAGCAGUAGGGAAUCUUCCGCAAUGGACGAAAGUCUGACGGAGCAACGCCGCGUGAACGAUGAAGGCUUUCGGGUCGUAAAGUUCUGUUGUUAGGGAAGAACAAGUACCGGAGUAACUGCCGGUACCUUGACGGUACCUAACCAGAAAGCCACGGCUAACUACGUGCCAGCAGCCGCGGUAAUACGUAGGUGGCAAGCGUUGUCCGGAAUUAUUGGGCGUAAAGCGCGCGCAGGCGGUUCCUUAAGUCUGAUGUGAAAGCCCCCGGCUCAACCGGGGAGGGUCAUUGGAAACUGGGGAACUUGAGUGCAGAAGAGGAGAGCGGAAUUCCACGUGUAGCGGUGAAAUGCGUAGAGAUGUGGAGGAACACCAGUGGCGAAGGCGGCUCUCUGGUCUGUAACUGACGCUGAGGCGCG
Molecule: ribosomal RNA, 824 nt
Filed under: Mesobacillus jeotgali
Lineage: Bacteria; Bacillati; Bacillota; Bacilli; Caryophanales; Bacillaceae
Description: bacterial SSU rRNA
Rfam family: Bacterial small subunit ribosomal RNA
Source: RNAcentral